AACGAACGUUGGCGGCGUGCCUAACACAUGCAAGUCGAGCGCGGGCAGGACUUCGGUCCUGUUCCGAGCGGCGCACGGGUGAGUAACACGUGAGUAACCUGCCUCGAAGUUUGGGAUAACCGCCCGAAAGGGUGGCUAAUACCGGAUAAGCCCCCACUGGCACAGGCCAGAGAGGGAAAAGCCUUGGCGCUUCGAGAUGGGCUCGCGUCCCAUUAGCUAGUUGGUGAGGUAACGGCUCACCAAGGCGAAGAUGGGUAGCUGGUCUGAGAGGAUGAUCAGCCACACUGGAACUGAGACACGGUCCAGACUCCGUACGGGAGCAGCAGUGGGGAAUAUUGCGCAAGUGGGACGAAAGCCU
Molecule: ribosomal RNA, 358 nt
Filed under: uncultured bacterium
Lineage: Bacteria
Description: bacterial SSU rRNA
Rfam family: Bacterial small subunit ribosomal RNA
Source: RNAcentral